GGAGAAAGCAGGGGAUCGCAAGACCUUGCGCUUUUGGAGCGGCCGAUGCCUGAUUAGCUUGUUGGUAAGGUAAAAGCUUACCAAGGCUUCGAUCAGUAGCUGGUCUGAGAGGACGGCCAGCCACACUGGGACUGAGACACGGCCCAGACUCCUACGGGAGGCAGCAGUGGGGAAUUUUGGACAAUGGGGGCAACCCUGAUCCAGCCAUGCCGCGUGAGUGAAGAAGGCCUUCGGGUUGUAAAGCUCCUUCAGCCGGAACGAAACGGUCACGGUUAAUACCCGUGACUAAUGACGGUACCGGAAGAAGAAGCACCGGCUAACUACGUGCCAGCAGCCGCGGUAAUACGUAGGGUGCGAGCGUUAAUCGGAAUUACUGGGCGUAAAGCGUGCGCAGGUGGUUUUGUAAGUCAGAUGUGAAAUCCCCGGGCUCAACCUGGGAACUGCGUUUGAAACUACAAAGCUAG
This 464-nucleotide ribosomal RNA is filed under the name uncultured bacterium. RNAcentral describes it as "bacterial SSU rRNA". It matches the Rfam family "Bacterial small subunit ribosomal RNA", at positions 199 to 644 of the family's 1533-position model. The record is from RNAcentral.